Long non-coding RNA from Aedes aegypti (yellow fever mosquito), 986 nucleotides. RefSeq lists it as uncharacterized. NCBI's taxonomy places the organism in Eukaryota, Metazoa, Arthropoda, Insecta, Diptera, Culicidae. The transcript has 2 exons. The record is from RefSeq and is a predicted model, not a curated record.
UUGCAUUUUAUCUUAUCAGAUGAUCAUCUGAGAGAGAUACGGAUCGAAUAACAAGAUAUAAUCUUAGCGCUCUUUGAUCGAUCUUUCAUCGAUAUCUCUGGUUCAUAUGAUACUAGAUAAAAUCAUUCAAACUCAGCAGUCCACGCGCAAGUAAUCAAUUUGAAAAUCAGUGACAUUAUUUGAUAGCGAGUUCAUAGUGCAACCAGCGAGUACCUUUAAACCCAAAACAGCAAAUUUUAGGGGAAUCCAUAGCGAUUUGUAAACUACCGAGAGAUGUCCUUUGGUCUCGGAACCCCCUGAAAAUGAAUCAAUUUACCAUUAACCGGAUUCUAUCAGGGUCUGGACGAUGCAAAUCUAUACGUGAAACUGCCGUUGGGCGUACGAAACGAUCUUUAAAAUAAAUGAUAUGUUUUAUGCUUUAACCAAAAGUUCCACCAAUAAUAUACAAAAAACUAACAAAAAAAAAUUGUAUUUCAUACGACGUAAUUUUGCUAUUUAUUUGAAUUGACAUUCAGAUGAACCACCUACAAAUCUGAAGUUUUACUAGAAAUAAGCCGCACAAUUUUCAAUUAAAAAAAAAAAUCUAUCAGUGAACGCACUAAUAAAUCUUCUCACAAGAAAUCGAUAACAAUGCGCUGAAAAUCAUCCUAGAAAUCGACACAUGAUCAAUCAAAAAUGUUGUCUUAUAUGAUGGACCAGUAGUUGAAUUCCGGCGCACUUUUUCUUGGAAGAGAAGAAAAUUUUCUUCCAUAAUCCACCUGCAAGAAAAUUUUCUUUUCUUCGAAGAUAAUACGCGCCGGAAUUCGCCUACAAGUAUUGUUUCCUCAGACCUUGUCGUUGCCAGGCAUUGUCUUAUAAAAAAAAUGCAAAAGAAUUUGGCUCGACUUCUACAAAACAUCUUGAAAAUAUUAGCCUAUCUCGUAAGGAAUCCACACACAAGGAUCUUCAAAAAAUUGCCGAAGGCCACAAAAUUUCACACAAAAAAA